Molecule: transfer RNA, 72 nt
Filed under: Camelus bactrianus (Bactrian camel)
Lineage: Eukaryota; Metazoa; Chordata; Mammalia; Artiodactyla; Camelidae
Also listed under: 2 other names
Rfam family: tRNA
About the family: Transfer RNA (tRNA) molecules are approximately 80 nucleotides in length.
Source: Rfam by way of RNAcentral
GGGAGUAUAGCUCAGUGGUUGAGCACAUGCCUAGUGUGCACAAGGUCCUGGGUUCAAUCCCCAGUAUGUCCA